CGUCAAUCCGGUUGUCUACAAUGGCAAGAUGAUGGCAAAAAUUGUGGGUAAACAAUGCUCUUCUUGCGUGCGCGGGGUCAUGGAACUUGUCUCAUGAACUCUAACUUCUGAGCAUGAAAACUCCAACUACAAACUACCGCUCU
Caenorhabditis elegans is the source of this 143-nucleotide non-coding RNA. NCBI's taxonomy places the organism in Eukaryota, Metazoa, Nematoda, Chromadorea, Rhabditida, Rhabditidae. The record is from Ensembl.